RNAcentral lists this ribosomal RNA (237 nucleotides) under uncultured bacterium. Its description in RNAcentral is "partial 16S ribosomal RNA". It matches the Rfam family "Bacterial small subunit ribosomal RNA", at positions 28 to 261 of the family's 1533-position model. The record is from RNAcentral.
GACGAACGCUGGCGGCGUGCUUAACACAUGCAAGUCGAGCGGUAAGGCCCUUUCGGGGGUACACGAGCGGCGAACGGGUGAGUAACACGUGGGUGACCUCGCCCGUCAGCUCUGGGAGUAAAGCCUGGGAAACCGGGUCUAAUACCGGAUAUGACUCCAUGACGCAUGUUGUGGGGUGGAAAGCCUUGUGCGGCUGAGGAGUGGGCCCGCGGCCUAUCAGCUUGUUGGUGGGGUGAU